AUAAUUUUAAGUUAAUUAAACUAUUAGCUUUCAAAGUUAAAAAUAUAUUAUU
RNAcentral lists this transfer RNA (52 nucleotides) under Oberthuerella sharkeyi. RNAcentral describes it as "tRNA-Trp". The record is from RNAcentral. Lineage: Eukaryota; Metazoa; Arthropoda; Insecta; Hymenoptera; Liopteridae.